GAUUAGAUACCCUGGUAGUCCACGCAGUAAACGAUGAAUACUAGCUGUUGGCGAUAUAGUGUCAGCGGUACAGCGAAAGUGUUAAGUAUUCCACCUGGGGAGUACGCCGGCAACGGUGAAACUCAAAGGAAUUGACGGGGGCCCGCACAAGCGGAGGAACAUGUGGUUUAAUUCGAUGAUACGCGAGGAACCUUACCCGGGCUUGAAAGUUAGUGGAUGUCCCUGAAAGGGGGCAGGCUCGCAAGAGACACGAAACUAGGUGCUGCAUGGUUGUCGUCAGCUCGUGCCGUGAGGUGUCGGCUUAAGUGCCAUAACGAGCGCAACCCCUGCCGUUAGUUGCCAUCAAGUAAAGUUGGGAACUCUAGCGGGACUGCUACUGUAAGGUAGAGGAGGGUGGGGAUGACGUCAAAUCAGCACGGCCCUUACGUCCGGGGCGACACACGUGUUACAAUGGGUGGUACAGAGGGUUGCUACUGCGCGAGCAGGUGCUAAUCUCCUAAAACCAUCCUCAGUUCGGAUCGGAGUCUGCAACUCGACUCCGUGAAGCUGGAUUCGCUAGUAAUCGCGCAUCAGCCAUGGCGCGGUGAAUACGUUCCCGGGCCUUGUACACACCGCCCGUCAAGCCAUGGAAGCCGGGGGUACCUGAAGUUCGUGACCGCGAGGAGCGACCUAGGGUAAAACUGGUAACUGGGGCUAAGUCGUAACAAGGUAGCCGUACCGGAAGGUGCGGCUG
Molecule: ribosomal RNA, 733 nt
Filed under: Bacteroidales bacterium UBA7565
Lineage: Bacteria; Pseudomonadati; Bacteroidota; Bacteroidia; Bacteroidales
Description: bacterial SSU rRNA
Rfam family: Bacterial small subunit ribosomal RNA
Source: RNAcentral